AGCGGCGGAUGGGUGAGUAACACGUGGGGAACCUGCCCCUAAGUCUGGGAUACCAUUUGGAAACAGGUGCUAAUACCGGAUAAUAAAGCAGAUCGCAUGAUCAGCUUUUGAAAGGCGGCGUAAGCUGUCGCUAAGGGAUGGCCCCGCGGUGCAUUAGCUAGUUGGUAAGGUAACGGCUUACCAAGGCGACGAUGCAUAGCCGAGUUGAGAGACUGAUCGGCCACAUUGGGACUGAGACACGGCCCAAACUCCUACGGGAGGCAGCAGUAGGGAAUCUUCCACAAUGGACGCAAGUCUGAUGGAGCACCGCCGCGUGAGUGAAGAAGGUUUUCGGAUCGUAAAGCUCUGUUGUUGGUGAAGAAGGAUAGAGGUAGUAACUGGCCUUUAUUUGACGGUAAUCAACCAGAAAGUCACGGCCAACUACGUGCCAGCAGCCGCGGUAAUACGUAGGUGGCAAGCGUUGUCCGGAUUUAUUGGGCGUAAAGCGAGCGCAGGCGGAAAAAUAAGUCUAAUGUGAAAGCCCUCGGCUUAACCGAGGAACUGCAUCGGAAACUGGUUUUCUUGAGUGCAGAAGAGGAGAGUGGAACUCCAUGUGUAGCGGUGGAAUGCGUAGAUAUAUGGAAGAACACCAGUGGCGAAGGCGGCUCUCUGGUCUGCAACUGACGCUGAGGCUCGAAAGCAUGGGUAGCGAACAGGAUUAGAUACCCUGGUAGUCCAUGCCGUAAACGAUGAGUGCUAAGUGU
Molecule: ribosomal RNA, 743 nt
Filed under: uncultured bacterium
Lineage: Bacteria
Description: bacterial SSU rRNA
Rfam family: Bacterial small subunit ribosomal RNA
Source: RNAcentral